Molecule: ribosomal RNA, 442 nt
Filed under: Celeribacter sp.
Lineage: Bacteria; Pseudomonadati; Pseudomonadota; Alphaproteobacteria; Rhodobacterales; Roseobacteraceae
Description: bacterial SSU rRNA
Rfam family: Bacterial small subunit ribosomal RNA
Source: RNAcentral
GGCCCGCGUUAGAUUAGUUAGUUGGUGGGGUAAUGGCCUACCAAGACUACGAUCUAUAGCUGGUUUGAGAGGAUGAUCAGCAACACUGGGACUGAGACACGGCCCAGACUCCUACGGGAGGCAGCAGUGGGGAAUCUUAGACAAUGGGGGCAACCCUGAUCUAGCGAUGCCGCGUGAGUGAUGAAGGCCUUAGGGUCGUAAAGCUCUUUCGCCUGUGAUGAUAAUGACAGUAGCAGGUAAAGAAACCCCGGCUAACUCCGUGCCAGCAGCCGCGGUAAUACGGAGGGGGUUAGCGUUGUUCGGAAUUACUGGGCGUAAAGCGCACGUAGGCGGAUUAGUCAGUCAGAGGUGAAAUCCCAGGGCUCAACCCUGGAACUGCCUUUGAUACUGCUAGUCUUGAGUUCGAGAGAGGUAAGUGGAAUUCCGAGUGUAGAGGUGAAAU